GGAUAGCUCAGUUGAUUGGAGUGUAGUGCUGAUAAUGCCAAGGUUGCAGGUUCAAUCCCUGUAUGAGACA
Molecule: transfer RNA, 70 nt
Filed under: Podarcis lilfordi (Lilford's wall lizard)
Lineage: Eukaryota; Metazoa; Chordata; Lepidosauria; Squamata; Lacertidae
Description: tRNA.Ile
Source: RNAcentral